This 98-nucleotide transfer RNA is filed under the name Chloroflexota bacterium. Its description in RNAcentral is "Chloroflexi bacterium tRNA-Ala". It matches the Rfam family "tRNA". From Rfam's summary of the family: Transfer RNA (tRNA) molecules are approximately 80 nucleotides in length. Their secondary structure includes four short double-helical elements and three loops (D, anti-codon, and T loops). The record is from RNAcentral. Lineage: Bacteria; Bacillati; Chloroflexota.
GGUGGUGUGCCCGAUCGGUAAAGGGGCAGGUUUGGCAAACCCUGGCUCGCUGAAGGCUAACCCCUUCCGCGAAGCGGGUUCGACUCCCGUCACCACCU